RNAcentral lists this ribosomal RNA (496 nucleotides) under uncultured bacterium. RNAcentral describes it as "partial 16S ribosomal RNA". It matches the Rfam family "Bacterial small subunit ribosomal RNA", at positions 28 to 506 of the family's 1533-position model. The record is from RNAcentral.
GAUGAACGCUGGCGGCGUGCCUAAUACAUGCAAGUCGAGCGAACAGACGAGGAGCUUGCUCCUCUGACGUUAGCGGCGGACGGGUGAGUAACACGUGGAUAACCUACCUAUAAGACUGGGAUAACUUCGGGAAACCGGAGCUAAUACCGGAUAAUAUAUUGAACCGCAUGGUUCAAUAGUGAAAGACGGUUUUGCUGUCACUUAUAGAUGGAUCCGCGCCGCAUUAGCUAGUUGGUAAGGUAACGGCUUACCAAGGCAACGAUGCGUAGCCGACCUGAGAGGGUGAUCGGCCACACUGGAACUGAGACACGGGCCAGACUCCUACGGGAGGCAGCAUUAGGGAAUCUUCCGCAAUGGGCGAAAGCUUGACGGAGCAACGCCGCGUGAGUGAUGAAGGUCUUCGGAUCGUAAAACUCUGUUAUUAGGGAAGAACAAAUGUGUAAGUAACUAUGCACGUCUUGACGGUACCUAAGCAGAAAGCCACGGCUAACUACGU